This is a non-coding RNA of Candidatus Daviesbacteria bacterium, 72 nucleotides long. The record is from Rfam. Lineage: Bacteria; Candidatus Daviesiibacteriota.
CGGGGUGUAGGUCAUCGGUAGACCGCUGCGUUUGGGACGCAGAUGUAGAGAGUUCAAUUCUCUCCACCCCGA